ACGUCGGCACUUUCGGUGUCGCUUCUGGAAAAGAUUUGAUCGACGUGGUACGGCUUUAUUUAGCACUAAAUUGUUUUUUUUUUUGUUUCUAAAGGAGGGAAAGUGUUAUUUGGUUUUGGUGCGAUAUUGGGUGAGGAUUUUGUACCAUGUCGAUCAAGUCGUGGCCACAAAUACUCACGAUUCGCCGAUGUUUUUCGGGUCUUGGCCCUCUGUAAGUAAUAAGAGUGUGAUUAAAGUGUGGUUUCACUCGACUGCAACUAAUUGAGGUGAUUGAAACGCAAUUCUCUCAUAUACUUUUAUUUAUAAAACAAUUUAUAAUUAUCGGUCAACUUAUUUCUAAAUAUUUAAGUACAUAUAACAUACAAAAUUUUUACAUUAAUAUCAUUUUCAUCUCUUAAAUAUAUAAUUGUUUUAAACAGCGUUCUUAACACUUGAACGAAUUGCUAAGAAAUGUGUAUAAAUAAUCCGAGAAUGGGCGAAUAAAUAGA
This is a long non-coding RNA of Tribolium castaneum (red flour beetle), 488 nucleotides long. RefSeq lists it as uncharacterized. The transcript is spliced from 2 exons. The record is from RefSeq and is a predicted model, not a curated record. NCBI's taxonomy places the organism in Eukaryota, Metazoa, Arthropoda, Insecta, Coleoptera, Tenebrionidae.